UGGGGAAUAUUGCACAAUGGGCGCAAGCCUGAUGCAGCCAUGCCGCGUGUAUGAAGAAGGCCUUCGGGUUGUAAAGUACUUUCAGCGGGGAGGAAGGCGAUAAGGUUAAUAACCUUGUCGAUUGACGUUACCCGCAGAAGAAGCACCGGCUAACUCCGUGCCAGCAGCCGCGGUAAUACGGAGGGUGCAAGCGUUAAUCGGAAUUACUGGGCGUAAAGCGCACGCAGGCGGUCUGUCAAGUCGGAUGUGAAAUCCCCGGGCUCAACCUGGGAACUGCAUUCGAAACUGGCAGGCUAGAGUCUUGUAGAGGGGGGUAGAAUCCCAGGUGUAGCGGUGAAAUGCGUAGAGAUCUGGAGGAAUACCGGUGGCGAAGGCGGCCCCCUGGACAAAGACUGACGCUCAGGUGCGAAAGCGUGGGGAGCAAACA
RNAcentral lists this ribosomal RNA (427 nucleotides) under uncultured bacterium. RNAcentral describes it as "partial 16S ribosomal RNA". It matches the Rfam family "Bacterial small subunit ribosomal RNA", at positions 355 to 774 of the family's 1533-position model. The record is from RNAcentral.